This 222-nucleotide unclassified non-coding RNA is filed under the name Hevea brasiliensis (rubber tree). The record is from RNAcentral. Lineage: Eukaryota; Viridiplantae; Streptophyta; Magnoliopsida; Malpighiales; Euphorbiaceae.
GGACCACCAGGACGCAAAGUGAGAGCCUGUAAAAGUGCUGGUGGUCCACCGGCUCUUCGGCUCACAGGAAUUCGUGGCCACUCUCAGCCUGAGGACACUACCGAUGCCUUACAAGAAGUUGGUCGGGAGCUCGCCCAACUUGCAGAGUCAACAGGUGUAGAAUUUGAGUUUCGUGGAUUCGUGGUCCAUACUUUAGCUGAUCUUGAAGCACCAAUGUUGAAU